UUCAUUUUUUUAGGUUUUCUUCGCCACUUCCUUCACGACCACCACCUCUUUCUUCUCUCUUUCUCUUCACAAUAGGCUGACGGUCAUUCUCCUUUCUCUCACUGCUAUUGACUAUCCAUCCCCAUUCCCUACUCGGGCUUCUUCUCAGAUGACAAAGUUGGCAGGGAAGAUCUCGAUAGUAGCUGGCAUUCAACCUCUGACUAUCUAGAAAUCUCACUGGAGGGGUUCUUUGGUGCAUUUUUUUUCUUCCACUUCCGAUCCUCCACAACUCCGCCCUUGUUGGAAACGGUAAAGAAGGCAGCAGGACUCAUCUUCAUCUUACUAGAGAGCAAAGACUCCACCCUAAGGGUUCUUGGGUGGAGGAUUCACAUCAUCAAGUGUCAACUCCAGUUCUCGCCAGUUCUUCAUAGCUAACCACAAAAGCUGGGGGUUCUUUCUUCAGCCUUCCUGUGUGAUGAUAGGGAGGGUUAGAAGAGGAGAAGUCUACACCCAUUCCACUUCAUUUCAGACAACAGUUCUUCAUUAGUUCAUUCUAUUAGUUCAUUCUAUUUGUUGGGUUGUUUCUCUAAAGUUUUCAUGAGUUGGUUGUGGAUGUUGGUUUGGCUACUUAGUUUCUUUCAUGUUCAUUAUUGAUGGCUGAUAGUUGAUUGAAUGCUUGUGUUGAACUUAAUUCCCCAUGUUUGAAUUGCACUAAUUUUUCCUCA
Molecule: long non-coding RNA, 704 nt
Organism: Zingiber officinale
Lineage: Eukaryota; Viridiplantae; Streptophyta; Magnoliopsida; Zingiberales; Zingiberaceae
Exons: 2
Source: RefSeq, a predicted model, not a curated record